RNAcentral lists this ribosomal RNA (468 nucleotides) under uncultured bacterium. RNAcentral's name for it is "partial 16S ribosomal RNA". It matches the Rfam family "Bacterial small subunit ribosomal RNA", at positions 28 to 507 of the family's 1533-position model. The record is from RNAcentral.
GACGAACGCUGGCGGCGUGCUUAACACAUGCAAGUCGAACGGAAAGGCCCUGCUUUUGUGGGGUGCUCGAGUUGCGAACGGGUGAGUAACACGUGAGUAACCUGCCCUUGACUUUGGGAUAACUUCAGGAAACUGGGGCUCAUACCGGAUAGGAGCUCCUGCUGCAUGGUGGGGGUUGGAAAGUUUCGGCGGUUGGGGAUGGACUCGCGGCUUAUCAGCUUGUUGGUGGGGUAGUGGCUUACCAAGGCAUUGACGGGUAGCCGGCCUGAGCGGGUGACCGGCCAAAUUGGGACGGAGAUACGGCCCAGACUACUACGGGAGGCAGCAGUGGGGAAUAGUGCACAAUGGGAGGAAGCAUGAUGCAGCAAAGCAGCGUGCGGGAUGACGGCCUGCGGGUUGUAAACCGAUUUCGCCUGUGACGAAGCGUGAGUGACGGUAAUGGGUAAAGAAGCACCGGCUAACUACGUG